UGGCGGCGUGCCUAACACAUGCAAGUCGAACGCUCUCUCUCGCAAGGGAGAGGGAGUGGCGGACGGGUGAGUAACACGUGGAGAUCUGCCUCCGGGUGGGGAAUACCACCGGGAAACCGGUGACAAGACCGCAUAGCCUCGGGGAGACCCGAGGAAAGCCUCCGUAAGGAGGCGCCGGGAGAGGACUCUGCGCCCGAUUAGCCAGUUGGUGGGGUAACGGCCUACCAAAGCGACGAUCGGUAGCUGGUCUGAGAGGACGAGCAGCCACACUGGGAUUGAGAACGGCCCAGACUCCUACGGGGGGCAGCAGUGAGGAAUUUUCCGCAAUGGACGAAAGUCUGACGGAGCAACGCCGCGUGCAGGACGACGGCCUUCGGGUUGUAAACUGCUUUUCCCAGGGACGAGGAGACAAGGACGGUACCUGGGGAGCAAGCCCCGGCUAACUACGUGCCAGCAGCCGCGGUAAUACGUAGGGGGCGAGCGUUGUCCGGAGUUACUGGGCGUAAAGCGUCCGCAGGCGGUGGCUCAAGUUCGAGGUGACAGUGCGCGGCUUCACUGCGCAAGGUUCUCGAAAAC
RNAcentral lists this ribosomal RNA (576 nucleotides) under uncultured bacterium. RNAcentral describes it as "bacterial SSU rRNA". It matches the Rfam family "Bacterial small subunit ribosomal RNA", at positions 37 to 633 of the family's 1533-position model. The record is from RNAcentral.